This 210-nucleotide unclassified non-coding RNA is filed under the name Entamoeba histolytica. Lineage: Eukaryota; Evosea; Mastigamoebida; Endamoebidae. The record is from RNAcentral.
ACGCCCAUCUGUAACCAUUUUGUAUGGAAUCUUUAAAAAUAGAAUUGAUCCUAUCAUAUUUAUCAACGUUUGAGACUACCUCAUCCCAUAUCUUCGUACUUCAUUACUAGAUUUACGUAGGUAGAUUUAGUGCGGAAGCUAACGAACAGGGUACUGCGUGAGGCCGGUUAACGGAGCAACGAAAACCUGUCUACGAAUGAUAGACCUGGG